RNAcentral lists this ribosomal RNA (253 nucleotides) under uncultured bacterium. RNAcentral's name for it is "partial 16S ribosomal RNA". It matches the Rfam family "Bacterial small subunit ribosomal RNA", at positions 524 to 776 of the family's 1533-position model. The record is from RNAcentral.
UACGUAGGGUCCGAGCGUUGUCCGGAAUUAUUGGGCGUAAAGGGCUCGUAGGCGGUUUGUCGCGUCGGGAGUGAAAACUCAGGGCUCAACCCUGAGCGUGCUUCCGAUACGGGCAGACUAGAGGUAUGCAGGGGAGAACGGAAUUCCUGGUGUAGCGGUGGAAUGCGCAGAUAUCAGGAGGAACACCGGUGGCGAAGGCGGUUCUCUGGGCAUUACCUGACGCUGAGGAGCGAAAGCGUGGGGAGCGAACAGG